This 72-nucleotide transfer RNA is filed under the name Caudoviricetes sp. RNAcentral describes it as "tRNA-Lys". It matches the Rfam family "tRNA". Rfam says of the family: Transfer RNA (tRNA) molecules are approximately 80 nucleotides in length. Lineage: Duplodnaviria; Heunggongvirae; Uroviricota; Caudoviricetes. The record is from RNAcentral.
GCCGGCAUAGCUCAGAGGCAGAGCAGGGCGCUUUUAACGCUCAGGUCGGGAUUUCAAAAUUCCCUGCCGGCA